AGUAAGUGCAGUUUUAGCACUGUUCAUGUCUAACGUUUGACUGCUCGUUUUAUUUGAAAAAAAUAUGAUUAGUAUUUUUAUUAUUAUUACAUAAUAAAACAUUAGUACUUUAUGUGUGACUAAUUUUUUAAAAAAUUUUCAUAAAUUUUUCAAAUAAAACGAACGGUCAAAACGCUAAACACGGAUAUCUAUGGCUGUAUUUAUU
This 205-nucleotide microRNA precursor is filed under the name Oryza barthii. Its description in RNAcentral is "MIR812 microRNA precursor family". It matches the Rfam family "MIR812 microRNA precursor family". The record is from Rfam by way of RNAcentral. Lineage: Eukaryota; Viridiplantae; Streptophyta; Magnoliopsida; Poales; Poaceae.